Molecule: long non-coding RNA, 218 nt
Filed under: Salvia miltiorrhiza (redroot sage)
Lineage: Eukaryota; Viridiplantae; Streptophyta; Magnoliopsida; Lamiales; Lamiaceae
Description: long non-coding RNA (SMIL_LNC013314)
Source: RNAcentral
GAGAUAUGGAAAUCAAUAUUUUGGGCAUAGUUAUGUUUUUAAGGAAUAUGUUUGAGUUUGUAAACUCGCGGUAUCUUGCUGUUGGAGCUCAUCGUCCGCGAAACUGCCUACUUCCAUCGAUCAGCUGUGGAAUCUGCAGACGUUGAUCGUUGCUCAUCCAAGGAAAGUGGAUGCACCGGUUGAGAUUUGGAAGAUGACUCAACUUAGGCAUGUCAUCU